AGUGCGCGGUGGCGGCGGCGUCGCGGGCAGCUGGCGCCGCGCGGUCCUGCUCUGCCGGUCGCACGGACGCACCGGCGGGCCGCCGGCCGGAGGGACGGGGCGGGAGCUGGGCCCGCGGACAGCGAGCCGGAGCGGGAGCCGCGCGUAGCGAGCCGGGCUCCGGCGCUCGCCAGUCUCCCGAGCGGCGCCCGCCUCCCGCCGGUGCCCGCGCCGGGCCGUGGGGGGCAGCAUGCCCGCGCGCGCUGCCUGAGGACGCCGCGGCCCCCGCCCCCGCCAUGGGCGCCCCUGCCUGCGCCCUCGCGCUCUGCGUGGCCGUGGCCAUCGUGGCCGGCGCCUCCUCGGAGUCCUUGGGGACGGAGCAGCGCGUCGUGGGGCGAGCGGCAGAAGUCCCGGGCCCAGAGCCCGGCCAGCAGGAGCAGUUGGUCUUCGGCAGCGGGGAUGCUGUGGAGCUGAGCUGUCCCCCGCCCGGGGGUGGUCCCAUGGGGCCCACUGUCUGGGUCAAGGAUGGCACAGGGCUGGUGCCCUCGGAGCGUGUCCUGGUGGGGCCCCAGCGGCUGCAGGUGCUGAAUGCCUCCCACGAGGACUCCGGGGCCUACAGCUGCCGGCAGCGGCUCACGCAGCGCGUACUGUGCCACUUCAGUGUGCGGGUGACAGACGCUCCAUCCUCGGGAGAUGACGAAGACGGGGAGGACGAGGCUGAGGACACAGGUGUGGACACAGGGGCCCCUUACUGGACACGGCCCGAGCGGAUGGACAAGAAGCUGCUGGCCGUGCCGGCCGCCAACACCGUCCGCUUCCGCUGCCCAGCCGCUGGCAACCCCACUCCCUCCAUCUCCUGGCUGAAGAACGGCAGGGAGUUCCGCGGCGAGCACCGCAUUGGAGGCAUCAAGCUGCGGCAUCAGCAGUGGAGCCUGGUCAUGGAAAGCGUGGUGCCCUCGGACCGCGGCAACUACACCUGCGUCGUGGAGAACAAGUUUGGCAGCAUCCGGCAGACGUACACGCUGGACGUGCUGGAGCGCUCCCCGCACCGGCCCAUCCUGCAGGCGGGGCUGCCGGCCAACCAGACGGCGGUGCUGGGCAGCGACGUGGAGUUCCACUGCAAGGUGUACAGUGACGCACAGCCCCACAUCCAGUGGCUCAAGCACGUGGAGGUGAAUGGCAGCAAGGUGGGCCCGGACGGCACACCCUACGUUACCGUGCUCAAGUCCUGGAUCAGUGAGAGUGUGGAGGCCGACGUGCGCCUCCGCCUGGCCAAUGUGUCGGAGCGGGACGGGGGCGAGUACCUCUGUCGAGCCACCAAUUUCAUAGGCGUGGCCGAGAAGGCCUUUUGGCUGAGCGUUCACGGGCCCCGAGCAGACGGCGGGCGCUAACACCACCGACAAGGAGCUAGAGGUUCUCUCCUUGCACAACGUCACCUUUGAGGACGCCGGGGAGUACACCUGCCUGGCGGGCAAUUCUAUUGGGUUUUCUCAUCACUCUGCGUGGCUGGUGGUGCUGCCAGCCGAGGAGGAGCUGGUGGAGGCUGACGAGGCGGGCAGUGUGUAUGCAGGCAUCCUCAGCUACGGGGUGGGCUUCUUCCUGUUCAUCCUGGUGGUGGCGGCUGUGACGCUCUGCCGCCUGCGCAGCCCCCCCAAGAAAGGCCUGGGCUCCCCCACCGUGCACAAGAUCUCCCGCUUCCCGCUCAAGCGACAGGUGUCCCUGGAGUCCAACGCGUCCAUGAGCUCCAACACACCACUGGUGCGCAUCGCAAGGCUGUCCUCAGGGGAGGGCCCCACGCUGGCCAAUGUCUCCGAGCUCGAGCUGCCUGCCGACCCCAAAUGGGAGCUGUCUCGGGCCCGGCUGACCCUGGGCAAGCCCCUUGGGGAGGGCUGCUUCGGCCAGGUGGUCAUGGCGGAGGCCAUCGGCAUUGACAAGGACCGGGCCGCCAAGCCUGUCACCGUAGCCGUGAAGAUGCUGAAAGACGAUGCCACUGACAAGGACCUGUCGGACCUGGUGUCUGAGAUGGAGAUGAUGAAGAUGAUCGGGAAACACAAAAACAUCAUCAACCUGCUGGGCGCCUGCACGCAGGGCGGGCCCCUGUACGUGCUGGUGGAGUACGCGGCCAAGGGUAACCUGCGGGAGUUUCUGCGGGCGCGGCGGCCCCCGGGCCUGGACUACUCCUUCGACACCUGCAAGCCGCCCGAGGAGCAGCUCACCUUCAAGGACCUGGUGUCCUGUGCCUACCAGGUGGCCCGGGGCAUGGAGUACUUGGCCUCCCAGAAGUGCAUCCACAGGGACCUGGCUGCCCGCAAUGUGCUGGUGACCGAGGACAACGUGAUGAAGAUCGCAGACUUCGGGCUGGCCCGGGACGUGCACAACCUCGACUACUACAAGAAGACGACCAACGGCCGGCUGCCCGUGAAGUGGAUGGCGCCUGAGGCCUUGUUUGACCGAGUCUACACUCACCAGAGUGACGUCUGGUCCUUUGGGGUCCUGCUCUGGGAGAUCUUCACGCUGGGGGGCUCCCCGUACCCCGGCAUCCCUGUGGAGGAGCUCUUCAAGCUGCUGAAGGAGGGCCACCGCAUGGACAAGCCCGCCAACUGCACACACGACCUGUACAUGAUCAUGCGGGAGUGCUGGCAUGCCGCGCCCUCCCAGAGGCCCACCUUCAAGCAGCUGGUGGAGGACCUGGACCGUGUCCUUACCGUGACGUCCACCGACGAGUACCUGGACCUGUCGGCGCCUUUCGAGCAGUACUCCCCGGGUGGCCAGGACACCCCCAGCUCCAGCUCCUCAGGGGACGACUCCGUGUUUGCCCACGACCUGCUGCCCCCGGCCCCACCCAGCAGUGGGGGCUCGCGGACGUGAAGGGCCACUGGUCCCCAACAAUGUGAGGGGUCCCUAGCAGCCCACCCUGCUGCUGGUGCACAGCCACUCCCCGGCAUGAGACUCAGUGCAGAUGGAGAGACAGCUACACAGAGCUUUGGUCUGUGUGUGUGUGUGUGCGUGUGUGUGUGUGUGUGUGCACAUCCGCGUGUGCCUGUGUGCGUGCGCAUCUUGCCUCCAGGUGCAGAGGUACCCUGGGUGUCCCCGCUGCUGUGCAACGGUCUCCUGACUGGUGCUGCAGCACCGAGGGGCCUUUGUUCUGGGGGGACCCAGUGCAGAAUGUAAGUGGGCCCACCCGGUGGGACCCCCGUGGGGCAGGGAGCUGGGCCCGACAUGGCUCCGGCCUCUGCCUUUGCACCACGGGACAUCACAGGGUGGGCCUCGGCCCCUCCCACACCCAAAGCUGAGCCUGCAGGGAAGCCCCACAUGUCCAGCACCUUGUGCCUGGGGUGUUAGUGGCACCGCCUCCCCACCUCCAGGCUUUCCCACUUCCCACCCUGCCCCUCAGAGACUGAAAUUACGGGUACCUGAAGAUGGGAGCCUUUACCUUUUAUGCAAAAGGUUUAUUCCGGAAACUAGUGUACAUUUCUAUAAAUAGAUGCUGUGUAUAUGGUAUAUAUACAUAUAUAUAUAUAACAUAUAUGGAAGAGGAAAAGGCUGGUACAACGGAGGCCUGCGACCCUGGGGGCACAGGAGGCAGGCAUGGCCCUGGGCGGGGCGUGGGGGGGCGUGGAGGGAGGCCCCAGGGGGUCUCACCCAUGCAAGCAGAGGACCAGGGCCUUUUCUGGCACCGCAGUUUUGUUUUAAAACUGGACCUGUAUAUUUGUAAAGCUAUUUAUGGGCCCCUGGCACUCUUGUUCCCACACCCCAACACUUCCAGCAUUUAGCUGGCCACAUGGCGGAGAGUUUUAAUUUUUAACUUAUUGACAACCGAGAAGGUUUAUCCCGCCGAUAGAGGGACGGCCAAGAAUGUACGUCCAGCCUGCCCCGGAGCUGGAGGAUCCCCUCCAAGCCUAAAAGGUUGUUAAUAGUUGGAGGUGAUUCCAGUGAAGAUAUUUUAUUUCCUUUGUCCUUUUUCAGGAGAAUUAGAUUUCUAUAGGAUUUUUCUUUAGGAGAUUUAUUUUUUGGACUUCAAAGCAAGCUGGUAUUUUCAUACAAAUUCUUCUAAUUGCUGUGUGUCCCAGGCAGGGAGACGGUUUCCAGGGAGGGGCCGGCCCUGUGUGCAGGUUCCGAUGUUAUUAGAUGUUACAAGUUUAUAUAUAUCUAUAUAUAUAAUUUAUUGAGUUUUUACAAGAUGUAUUUGUUGUAGACUUAACACUUCUUACGCAAUGCUUCUAGAGUUUUAUAGCCUGGACUGCUACCUUUCAAAGCUUGGAGGGAAGCCGUGAAUUCAGUUGGUUCGUUCUGUACUGUUACUGGGCCCUGAGUCUGGGCAGCUGUCCCUUGCUUGCCUGCAGGGCCAUGGCUCAGGGUGGUCUCUUCUUGGGGCCCAGUGCAUGGUGGCCAGAGGUGUCACCCAAACCGGCAGGUGCGAUUUUGUUAACCCAGCGACGAACUUUCCGAAAAAUAAAGACACCUGGUUGCUAA
RNA transcript from Homo sapiens (human), 4452 nucleotides. It is a transcript of the gene named fibroblast growth factor receptor 3, with no coding region annotated. The record is from RefSeq and is marked reviewed. Lineage: Eukaryota; Metazoa; Chordata; Mammalia; Primates; Hominidae. The transcript is spliced from 19 exons.